GACUGCCCCGGCGGAGUCGGCCGCAGCGAGUCCGCGCGGGGCGGGGAGGGCCGGGCCGGGCCUCCCCUACCGCGCCGGGCCUGCGAGGGAGGGGAGGGACGGGGAGCCGAGGGGAGGGGGCGCCGGCCUCCCGGCUCAGCUGCCCCACUGAGGCCUGGACCUGUUGACUGCGAUUGGCCCGCCUCAUCCCGCGCCCUCUCUCUGCUCGCAGCGGCCCCAGCCCUUCCGCGGCGUCGCGGGGAGGAAAUGGGGAUGGCUGUCCUCCUCUCCGCCUCCUUCUAACUUUCCUUUUUUUAUUUGGGUGUGUUGGGGGGGGUGCUGAGAAAGCCCAGGCAACUCCACCGCCGCCCCAUCCUGCCUCCGAAAGUCUCGUCACGCCCGACCCGCCGCCGCCCUCCCAGCCCCCAUGACUUAAAACCGCCUCCCCUCCUCGCAGCGGCGCCCCGGCCCGGAGCCCGAGAGCCCUCGACGCCCCCGCCGCGCCUCCCCCGCCUGGCCUGGCCCAGCGGCGUCCCCAGCGAAUUGUGUCGCUUUUCUGCCCUGGAAGCUCCCUCGGCCACGUUCCACUUUUUUUCCCAGUCCCAGGAGGCGUAAGAUAAAACCUCUGAUUUGCUGCGUGCUGCCGGGCACAUUCUCUGCCCUCUCGUCCGAAGGACGAGUUUAAAAUGGAGAGUUUAAAAUAAUAGCAUUUACAGGAGGAAAUAAAGAGCGAGGAGAUGGUUCUUUGGCCGGUUUUAAGACAUACAUGCUUUUUUUUUCUUUUAAUACAAGAUGUCUUAAGGGUUAAAAGCGUUCUAGGGUUUGCUGUAUUUCCUUCUAGAUUUGGGGUUUCCUGAGGAAAUCUUUUCCGGAGGGAAAUAGCAAAUCAACAUUAAGAUGGAAGCGAGACUUCUCAGCCACUUUUGGAAAUGAAGGGGGAAAUUGUAAAAAUACAUUCAGAAAAGGGCGCGAAGGCGGCGGCUGAGGGGAAGAAGCUGGAGUCUUGGGAGGAAGCGCAGUGGGUUGGAAUCGGGGGAAGGAGGGCCCGCUAGGUCCGGGCGGGGAAGAAGGCGUGCGGGCGGCGGGGCGUGCGCCGGGCCGGGCAGCUGGAGGAAGGCGCGGCGGGACUGGCGAGCGCGAAGAGGCAGGCGGGGAAGGCCUCGGGGGGCGGGGGCCGGGCGCGGGGCCGGCGCGCCGGAGGAAGCGGGACCUGGCUCCUCGCGCCCGCCGGGCCGCCCCCAUUGUUCUGCCCUAGCACCGCUGUUAGCCGAGCACGUCCUGACCGAGGGAGGGGCCCCGCGGGCCAACCCGACCCCCGUCGGCGCCUCCCCGGGCUCCUGAGCUCCGGCCGGGUCGGGUCGGGCCGGCGCGGCAAGUUUUGAUGGUCAGACUCAGCCAGCGAGGGGUUCCCAGCUGAAGACCUCGGAGGAAGGAGCCUUUACAGCGUGCUGCGAAAUUGAAGGAAGCCGGGCGAGCCUGCAACGCACACGUUAUGAGAAAAAGGGAAAGCAACAUAGAUAUGUUUAUAAAGUGAUAAAUAGAUAAGAGACACCCGUGGGCAGUUAUUAUUCUGGAUCCGGAAA
Molecule: long non-coding RNA, 1562 nt
Filed under: Homo sapiens (human)
Lineage: Eukaryota; Metazoa; Chordata; Mammalia; Primates; Hominidae
Description: HSALNT0159833
Source: RNAcentral